UAGGGAAUCUUCCGCAAUGGGCGAAAGCCUGACGGAGCAACGCCGCGUGAGUGAUGAAGGUCUUCGGAUCGUAAAACUCUGUUAUUAGGGAAGAACAAAUGUGUAAGUAACUAUGCACGUCUUGACGGUACCUAAUCAGAAUGCCACGGCUAACUACGUGCCAGCAGCCGCGGUAAUACGUAGGUGGCAAGCGUUAUCCGGAAUUAUUGGGCGUAAAGCGCGCGUAGGCGGUUUUUUAAGUCUGAUGUGAAAGCCCACGGCUCAACCGUGGAGGGUCAUUGGAAACUGGAAAACUUGAGUGCAGAAGAGGAAAGUGGAAUUCCAUGUGUAGCGGUGAAAUGCGCAGAGAUAUGGAGGAACACCAGUGGCGAAGGCGACUUUCUGGUCUGUAACUGACGCUGAUGUGCGAAAGCGUGGGGAUCAAACAGG
This 429-nucleotide ribosomal RNA is filed under the name Actinomycetes bacterium. RNAcentral's name for it is "Actinobacteria bacterium partial 16S ribosomal RNA". It matches the Rfam family "Bacterial small subunit ribosomal RNA", at positions 355 to 776 of the family's 1533-position model. Lineage: Bacteria; Bacillati; Actinomycetota; Actinomycetes. The record is from RNAcentral.